GAUGAAGAACGCAGCAAAAUGCGAUAAGUAAUGUGAAUUGCAGAGUUCAGUGAAUCAUCGAAUCUUUGAACGCACAUUGCGCCCGUCAGUAUUCUGACGGGCAUGCCUGUCCGAGCGUCAUUUCAACCCUCAAGCACUGCUUGGCGUUGGCGGAUUGCGUGCCCUCGCGGCGCUGCAACCGCCCAAAUACAGUGGCGGUCCCGCUGCGGCUCCCUUUGCGUAGUAACUCACCUCGCACUGGACCGGGCGGCGGCCUGCCGUAAAACCCCAACUCACGAAAUGUUGACCUCGGAUCAGGUAGGAAUACCCGCUGAACUUAAGCAUAUCAAUAAGCGGAGGA
RNAcentral lists this unclassified non-coding RNA (340 nucleotides) under soil metagenome. Its description in RNAcentral is "partial contains 5.8S ribosomal RNA, internal transcribed spacer 2, and large subunit ribosomal RNA". The stretch from base 1 to 120 matches the Rfam family "5.8S ribosomal RNA", at positions 35 to 154 of the family's 154-position model. The record is from RNAcentral.